Molecule: ribosomal RNA, 440 nt
Filed under: uncultured Lachnospiraceae bacterium
Lineage: Bacteria; Bacillati; Bacillota; Clostridia; Lachnospirales; Lachnospiraceae
Description: partial 16S ribosomal RNA
Source: RNAcentral
GACUACUGGGGUAUCUAAUCCUGUUUGCUCCCCACGCUUUCGAGCCUCAGCGUCAGUUAUCGUCCAGUAAGUCGCCUUCGCCACUGGUGUUCCUCCUAAUAUCUACGCAUUUCACCGCUACACUAGGAAUUCCACUUACCUCUCCGACACUCUAGUCCCAUAGUUUCCAAUGCAGUCCCAGGGUUGAGCCCUGGGCUUUCACACCAGACUUACAAGACCGCCUACACUCCCUUUACACCCAGUAAAUCCGGAUAACGCUUGCCCCCUACGUAUUACCGCGGCUGCUGGCACGUAGUUAGCCGGGGCUUCUUAGUCAGGUACCGUCAUUAUCUUCCCUGCUGAUAGAGCUUUACAUACCGAAAUACUUCUUCACUCACGCGGCGUCGCUGCAUCAGGGUUUCCCCCAUUGUGCAAUAUUCCCCACUGCAGCCCCCCGUAGG